Molecule: ribosomal RNA, 424 nt
Filed under: uncultured bacterium
Lineage: Bacteria
Description: bacterial SSU rRNA
Rfam family: Bacterial small subunit ribosomal RNA
Source: RNAcentral
UGGGGAAUAUUGGACAAUGGGGGAAACCCUGAUCCAGCCAUGCCGCGUGAGUGAUGAAGGCCUUAGGGUUGUAAAGCUCUUUUGUCAGGGAAGAUGAUGACGGUACCUGAAGAAUAAGCACCGGCUAACUUCGUGCCAGCAGCCGCGGUAAUACGAAGGGUGCUAGCGUUGUUCGGAAUUACUGGGCGUAAAGCGCGCGUAGGCGGCUUUUCAAGUCAGGGGUGAAAUCCCACGGCUCAACCGUGGAAUUGCCUUUGAAACUGUAAAGCUGGAGUAUCGGAGGGGAUAGCGGAAUUCCUAAUGUAGAGGUGAAAUUCGUAGAUAUUAGGAGGAACACCGGUGGCGAAGGCGGCUAUCUGGAACACAACUGACGCUGAGGCGCGAAAGCGCGGGGAUCAAACAGGAUUAGAUACCCCCGUAGUCC